RNAcentral lists this long non-coding RNA (765 nucleotides) under Olea europaea subsp. europaea. Lineage: Eukaryota; Viridiplantae; Streptophyta; Magnoliopsida; Lamiales; Oleaceae. The record is from RNAcentral.
CCAAAACUCAAAAGAAGACACAUUAACAGAGAUUACAAUUCUGUGUUUUAGAGAUUCCUCCUUCAAGAUCUUCCAUGUACACAUCUGUACUUGAUUUAUCUCAAAUUCUCAAGGUCUCAUAGGAGCCCUUAGACAAAGAUUAGUCUCAAAGGAGGUUCUAGUGCGUGGUAAAUCAAGAGAAAAACAAAGCAACCAUAAUUUCUGAAAAAUGAGCUUUACCAAAAUUAAAGAUCUCACACAAAGAGUUUAUAUAAACUCGCUUUCUUUCAGUUUUACUUAGAUGCAAUUCCAAAUAUUUCAGAUCUGUAGCAAAUCUAUCAUUUUUUUCUCAGAUUCAGGUAUCUUGCUCUUCAGUAAUGUCUCUGAUGUCACUGUAAAGCUAGACUAACACAAUAUUAGUGUUAUGAAGCAAAAUAAACGAUCUUACAAAAAGUAAAAAUGUGUAGAAUUUAAAGAUUGAACACGAGAAUCCUUUUGACCUAAUACUCGGAGAGAUGUGACCACAUCCAACCCUUAUAUCCUCCGUUCAGCAUCCAAUAAAUUGGAUUAUGCUUGGUUGCAUUAGAUAGCCCAAAAUAAUAACAAAAGCCACAAAGGUUUAACCAAUGCAUAGAGAUAGCACAAAAACACUUAUCUCUCAAAAACAAUUGCAGAUCUAUGAAGAAUCGCCAAAAAUCUUCUCAAAUUCCUUUGAAACAAUAACUUGAAAGAUCCCUUUCAUUCUUACAAACAUUCACUUAGAAUAUCACAAAUCAGAGGCUAAAU